AAUCGGUGAGUCUGUUUCCCGUUGACUUCCCAGCUCUGUUUGUUCUGAUGGGUCAGACGUGACGGUGUCAUUGCCAUCUCCGGCCUCACACCUGGUGGCCCCUGGUCUGCUCAAUAAGUAUUGAGUGAUGAUGACAUGUAUUCCAUGAACUGCCUCUGCAGACUGGGGUGGGGGCAAUGUGCCCGAGGACGUGUGAAUCACAGGACAAACACCUGCCGCUUUCCCAAAGAGUCGGUUUCGCAGUAAGGAAGUUUAAAUGAGCAUGUUCUUCAUGCCAGGCCCUGCUCUAGGCCUGGAGUACACAGCCAUGAUGUAGACAGAUGUGAUCCCUGCCUUUGUGGAGUUUAUAGUCUAGUACAACUGUCAGAAAAUCUAAUGCAUAAAAUCCCAGGCCGCAAGUGUUGUAGGUCUCAGGAGCCAAACAUUCCUACUGCCGCAACACCAACAGACACAGACAGACAGCGCAUGAACAAUGAUGUUUUAGUAAACACAGAAUUACAAGGCAGACAAAGGGGAAAGCAAAGACACAGCAAAUCUACGGUUAGCAGAGGAAGCAGGAAACGAGAAGACACUGGCCAAACCGUAUGAGGCUGUGCUGUUGCAGGAUGAACGAGCCUAGUGACUGAAAGUACAUCGUGAAGAUUAACGAAUGACACCAGAGUCCACACCCUGGACAUUUGCUGAGAAAACGGUCUUUGAUGUCUUCUUGUCACAUACCCAUCCAGUGAGAGGUGGGGUACGUUAGACUUCCUGGACUGGAGUAGACGCUUUACUGUGGAUAAUGUGUGCGAAAGCGUAACUACUCCAUCACACGCUUCCACGAUGGUCACAGGUCCAAAGGAAUGGGGUCACCCAGUUAUGGGGAAGAAACUCCAAACCUGGAGGUUGAAACGAACUUUUCCCUCUUCCUGAAUGAAUCACCCGGGGACAUUUUGUUGUAGUAACAGAAAGCUACCAUCCACGGGCAAGCUCAGCUUGUGAGUAUAACAAUGGUAGGACCCACGUGUAAGCUGGAAGAGUGACAAGCGGGGCCUGAGUCUAAGGUGAUUGUGCCAACCGGAGUAGUGGAGGCAGGGUCAGCAGCAGUAACAGCUGUGGGAGGGAGGAGGGCCUCCUCUGAGGGCAGCAUGGGGAACAUGGUGGACACAGCUUCUCUGCCCAUCCACGACUUUCCCUGUGGCAUCUAGACAAAUAGUAACUCUCCAGUCAACACCGGGACAGUGGCUGCUGAUGCCCAGGGAGAAAGUUCCUCAGUAAGUUAUUAAUAAAUUUAAUAAAGUUAAUUAAUAAAUAAGAACGUUCACAGGCACGUGCCAGUAAAGGAUACUAGGGGUGUGGUGGGUAACCCCAGGACUCACUGAGCAGAGGCAGGAGGAUUGUGAGUUUCCGGAUACUCUGAGCUACAUAAUGAGACUGUUGCCGUUAUUUUCAGCUGUUUAGAACCUCUGGUUUUGAGAACCGGUGGCGCAUUACAAGCCGCACUUCCACAGGCUUGGAAAUAGAAUUUAAAUAUGAAGAUCGUUCUGUCUGACACAAUGAAACACCAACUUCAUACAGAGUUUCCGAUGAACUGGCAGCUACUGGCUAAAUAUCCUUUGAAUUAAUUUCCCGGGUGCCUGAAGAUAUACGGCCACUAAGGACACAAAAAGACAUCCUAAAUUAUAUACAAACCAUGACGACCCCCAGUUACACACAUCUCAGGAUCUAUCAGAAAACGUAAUAAUUAAUACUGAAAUAUUUGAAGCUGACUGUAAAAAGAGCUAAAUCUUUCAUAAAAGUAGUCCUCCACAUGUUUUCACCACAAGGUUUACUAAAAUUCAUAUUUCAAGUCAUUUUUCAGAACUCUAUACCCUGACAUCAUCGGCCUAUGAAGUCAUGGCACCUGUUUCCAGGAACACCUGUCUUCAGGAACACCUGUCUCCAGGAACACCUGUCUCCAGGAACACCUGUCUCCAGGAACACCUGUUUCCAGGAACACCUGUAUUGGAUUUUAUUAUCAAAGUUAAAUUUAUCUGAAAGUAUUUGGUUUUCCCUUGGCCAACAGCAACUGGCAUUGCUUUCGAUGGCGUCAUUUGAAAAUGGAUUUGCUGAACGGGUGAUCGUCACCAUUUAAGUGAAUAGGCAAGAGAGCAAGCCUGAAACAGCUUAUGACUUGCCAGGUCAACGCAACAAUGUAGAGUAUUUGCUUAUUACACAAAAUUAUGACCUCAGAAUAUCUUUUCCAUUAAGAAUCUAUAGUUAUUUAAUGUUACUACACUUAUCAACUUUUGAUAGUAAAAAGCUUUUCAACGGCAAUGUUUACAGUCAGAAAAUGCCCAUUUCUCCUCUGUUUUUCUGAGCGAGAACCUGGGGUCUUGCGUUAGGCCUUGUAAUUGGUGUGGCUGUUGUGUGAGGAAUGAGGGCAGGUGGUCCUGGGGGAGUGGGAAGGUCUAACAUGAGGAGGAAACUGGAAGUGGGGCUGAGACGCAGGGCACUUGCUUAGCACGUGCAGGGCCCCGGGGUUGAGCUCCAG
Molecule: non-coding RNA, 2512 nt
Organism: Myodes glareolus (Bank vole)
Lineage: Eukaryota; Metazoa; Chordata; Mammalia; Rodentia; Cricetidae
Source: RefSeq, a predicted model, not a curated record